GACAAGCCAAGCAGAGAGUCUCACGGCUUGCUUUCUUUGGUACAAGGUGUUUUUGGUGGUGUUAGUCGUAUAUCGAGUCGCAAGAAAGAAUCGUUUUGAAGAACUGUUUGGAAUCACCUGUGUCCGAUACAUAGAUAAUAAAGCAUGUUACAUCUAAACAGCCCGACUAAAAGGUGAACAGGAAACAACGACAGCAAGUGCAAUGGCAGAACAACGAUGAAAUUGAAUUUAACAAAGCUGCUUUUGAAACACUUGUCUCUUUGAUUUUCUAAAGAAGACAUAAGUAACUAUAGAUGUUUUACUAAUGUAUUAUUAAACUAACAUUAAUAUAAAUGUAUAUAUUUGUGUAACUCUUUCACACUAUAUAUGUACACUCCUUCUUCGUGUAAUUUUUACGAAUGUGAUUUUUGGUUUGUUGCUUUA
This is a long non-coding RNA of Xenia sp. Carnegie-2017, 423 nucleotides long. RefSeq lists it as uncharacterized. NCBI's taxonomy places the organism in Eukaryota, Metazoa, Cnidaria, Anthozoa, Malacalcyonacea, Xeniidae. The transcript has 2 exons. The record is from RefSeq and is a predicted model, not a curated record.